RNAcentral lists this ribosomal RNA (253 nucleotides) under uncultured bacterium. RNAcentral's name for it is "partial 16S ribosomal RNA". It matches the Rfam family "Bacterial small subunit ribosomal RNA", at positions 524 to 776 of the family's 1533-position model. The record is from RNAcentral.
UACGUAGGGCGCAAGCGUUGUCCGGAAUUAUUGGGCGUAAAGAGCUCGUAGGUGGCUUGUCACGUCGGGUGUGAAAGCUUGGGGCUUAACUCCAGGUCUGCAUUCGAUACGGGCUGGCUAGAGGUAGGUAGGGGAGAACGGAAUUCCUGGUGUAGCGGUGAAAUGCGCAGAUAUCGGGAGGAACACCGGUGGCGAAGGCGGUUCUCUGGGCCUUGCCUGACGCUGAGGAGCGAAAGCGUGGGGAGCGAACAGG